GCGUGACGGCGCGAGCAGGUGCGAAAGCAGGUCAUAGUGAUCCGGUGGUUCUGAAUGGAAGGGCCAUCGCUCAACGGAUAAAAGGUACUCCGGGGAUAACAGGCUGAUACCGCCCAAGAGUUCAUAUCGACGGCGGUGUUUGGCACCUCGAUGUCGGCUCAUCACAUCCUGGGGCUGAAGUAGGUCCCAAGGGUAUGGCUGUUCGCCAUUUAAAGUGGUACGCGAGCUGGGUUUAGAACGUCGUGAGACAGUUCGGUCCCUAUCUGCCGUGGGCGCUGGAGAACUGAGGGGGGCUGCUCCUAGUACGAGAGGACCGGAGUGGACGCAUCACUGGUGUUCGGGUUGUCAUGCCAAUGGCACUGCCCGGUAGCUAAAUGCGGAAGAGAUAAGUGCUGAAAGCAUCUAAGCACGAAACUUGCCCCGAG
Molecule: ribosomal RNA, 425 nt
Filed under: Salmonella enterica
Lineage: Bacteria; Pseudomonadati; Pseudomonadota; Gammaproteobacteria; Enterobacterales; Enterobacteriaceae
Description: partial 23S ribosomal RNA
Rfam family: Bacterial large subunit ribosomal RNA
Source: RNAcentral